This 468-nucleotide ribosomal RNA is filed under the name uncultured bacterium. RNAcentral's name for it is "partial 16S ribosomal RNA". It matches the Rfam family "Bacterial small subunit ribosomal RNA", at positions 28 to 507 of the family's 1533-position model. The record is from RNAcentral.
GAUGAACGCUGGCGGCGUGCUUAACACAUGCAAGUCGAACGGUGAAGGCGGAGCUUGCUCUGCUGGAUCAGUGGCGAACGGGUGAGUAACACGUGAGCAAUCUGCCCCUGACUCCGGGAUAAGCGCUGGAAACGGCGUCUAAUACUGGAUACGAGCUGCGAAGGCAUCUUCAGCAGCUGGAAAGAACUUCGGUCAGGGAUGAGCUCGCGGCCUAUCAGCUUGUUGGUGAGGUAACGGCUCACCAAGGCGUCGACGGGUAGCCGGCCUGAGAGGGUGACCGGCCACACUGGGACUGAGACACGGCCCAGACUCCUACGGGAGGCAGCAGUGGGGAAUAUUGCACAAUGGGCGAAAGCCUGAUGCAGCAACGCCGCGUGAGGGACGACGGCCUUCGGGUUGUAAACCUCUUUUAGCAGGGAAGAAGCGAAAGUGAUGGUACCUGCAGAAAAAGCGCCGGCUAACUACGUG